RNAcentral lists this ribosomal RNA (423 nucleotides) under uncultured bacterium. RNAcentral describes it as "bacterial SSU rRNA". It matches the Rfam family "Bacterial small subunit ribosomal RNA", at positions 358 to 772 of the family's 1533-position model. The record is from RNAcentral.
GGAAUUGUUCGCAAUGGGCGCAAGCCUGACGACGCAACGCCGCGUGGAGGAUGAAGAUUUUCGGAUCGUAAACUCCUUUCGACCGGGACGAAUGGCCGGUGGUCUAAUACGCCAUCAGAUUGACGGUACCGGACGAAGAAGCCCCGGCUAACUCCGUGCCAGCAGCCGCGGUAAUACGGGGGGGGCAAGCGUUGUUCGGAAUUACUGGGCGUAAAGGGCGCGUAGGCGGCCUGCUAAGUCACACGUGAAAUCCCUCGGCUCAACCGGGGAACUGCGUGUGAUACUGGCGGGCUUGAAUUCGGGAGAGGGAUGUGGAAUUCCAGGUGUAGCGGUGAAAUGAGUAGAUAUCUGGAGGAACACCGGUGGCGAAGGCGGCAUCCUGGACCGAGAUUGACGCUGAGGCGCGAAAGCUAGGGUAGCAAA